AGCUGGUCUGAGUGCGGUGAUGUUUACAACUAAUUGAUGACAACCAGUUACAGAUUUAUUUGUUUCUUUUCUAUUCCCACUAUUUCUUUCUACUAACCUUUG
Molecule: unclassified non-coding RNA, 102 nt
Organism: Rhinopithecus bieti (black snub-nosed monkey)
Lineage: Eukaryota; Metazoa; Chordata; Mammalia; Primates; Cercopithecidae
Rfam family: Y RNA
About the family: Y RNAs are components of the Ro ribonucleoprotein particle (Ro RNP), in association with Ro60 and La proteins. The Y RNAs and Ro60 and La proteins are well conserved, but the function of the Ro RNP is not known.
Source: Ensembl